UACUGUUUGCCUCAGUUUUCUCAUCUGUAAAAUGAACUAGAGAAAGAAAUGGCAAACCACUUUGCCAAGAACACCCCAUAUAGGAUCAACAAGAGAAAUGAAAUCAACAACUAAAAUGACUAAAAUGGAGUGGAUAGAGCCAAAUAGAGGUCAACUUUCUGGAAUUAGAAAGACUUCAAUUCAAAUCUGGUCUCUAAUACUUCAUGGUUGUGUGACCCUGAGCAAGUCUCUUAAUCUCUCCUCCAUUUUCUAGUCUGUAAAGUAGGGAUAAUAAAUUGAUUUUCCCAGGAUUUUCAUAAUGAUAUAAUGAGCUAUAAGUAAAAUGUUUUGAAAACCUUUAAGUACUAUAUAAAUGCUACCUAUAAUUCUUAUCUUUCUUUGGUCUUGGCAGCAUUUGUCUCCCCUGAGGACCCUUUCCUCCUGGAUACUCUUUCUGCAUAAGAGUUUCAUAAAACUGCUGCUUUAUCUUAGUUCUCCCCCAUCUCUCUAUUUACUUUUUUUCAGUCUCAUUUACUAAAACAUCUUCCAUUUCAUACUCCCUAAUUGUGAAUGUACUCAUACCUCUGCUCUGGGCUAUCUUCUAUUUUCUUUCUAGGUUCUUUCUGUUUUAGUAAUCCCAUCUGCUCACAUGGGAUAAAUUAUCAUGUCUGUGAUUACCAGAUGUAUAUUUACAGUCUAGUUCUUUGUCCUGAGUUCCAGUCUAGGUGCUGGAGAAUUCUUUUGGCAUCCUGAAUAUGUUACAAACUCAAUCUAUCCUAAACAGAACUCACUCUUUUCUCUCUCCAAUCCAACUCUCUUUCAAACUUCCCUAUUUUUGUUGAGGUGACCACUCUAGGUUUGUAACCUUGUCAUCCCUCACUCCUCACUCUCAUCUCAUAUUUAAUCAAUUGCGGAAUCCUAUCAAUUCUAUCUCCAUCCAGUUUUUUGGAUCCAAUUUUCCCUUUUCUUUACUCCCAUAGCCUAAUAGGUCCCCUUUCUUCAAGUUCCUCUCCACUUCAACUCAUUCUCUACACAGUUAACAAAAUGAUUCCUCUACAUCUCCCAAACUCUGAAAGAUCAGUCCCAACUAUAACACUUCUCUUCUCAAUAAACUCCAGUGACUCCCUAGUACCUUUAGGAUCAAAUGUAGAUUCCUUGGUAUGACUUUUAAAACUUUUUACAACUUAACACUAAUCUACCUUUUUGUUUCUGUUUUUUUUUUUUUUUUUUUUUAAUAGAAGUCUAGCUGGUUCUGAUUCAACUAACUAGACUUCUUACUAUUUUUCAUACUUGGCACUUACAUACAUCUACUAUCUCCAUACCUUUACAAUGGCUGUCCCAUAUGCUUAGAAUGUACAAUUCUCUCACUAUAUCUUAGAAUCCAUAAUUUUCUUCAAGGAUAGGUCCCAAUACUACCAGUUCUAUGAAACCUUUCCUGGUCCUCUCAAAUGCUAGAACCUCCCGCUCUUGCCCUCAAAUUAUCUUGGGUUUAGAUUUUGUAUUAACCUAUAUAAAAAUGUAUUGUCUCUCUUGGUCAAAAUCCCUCCAAGAAAAGACCUACUUCACACCAGGAGGCACAAUGGAUGGAUCACUGGUUCUGGAUUAAGGAAGACCUGAGUUCAAAGGAAUUCCCCCUAAAUCUUGGACUUCUCAGACUCAUCACGUCCAGCUCCUUCAGCAAUUUCAUCAACGUCACCUACACUGAUAUCAAAUGGCAAACCCAUCUCAUCAUUAAGAAAGUCUAGGAGCAAAGCCAGUUUACCAGCAACAAACCCAGCAGCCAGCUCUUCUGGGCAGGAUGUGUAGAAAAUGGAUGUCUGCCAAACAGCCAAAGAGUCCUCAUCUGACAUGCUAAGGGGUGGCAGCCAAGAAGAGAACGUCAAGAAACACUGACUACAAGAUACUGUUGGAGUUCACCCCCGAACCAGAACCCCAAAGCCUUGGAAUAGCAAAUUUCCAGCACGCUGCCCAUAGGUAUCAUCCUGGGAAGCAACCACUGUGGAGAUGCUGCCUGGUAACUACUCCUUUAAAUACAACAACCACUAUUAUAUAUAUUCAUGAAAGAAGUUUCUUGCUACUGAAAUCUUUGACCCUAUCAAGUGCUUCAACAUCAGAAACUGAUAUGAUUUUGUCAGUGGAAGGGAUAUUAAAGAAGAGGCAUUGCCAUACACUUUGCACCUUCAGGAUCAUGGGAAUUUUCCAUCUGACUGAAACUUUCUAGAUGUGUUGUCACCCCCUUUAGAAUGUAAGCUCCUUGAGAACAGGCACUGUUGUAAAUUUCCAAUUUGUAUCCCCAGUAGUUAAAAUGCUUUGUCAUAGUCUGUGUUUAACAAAUGUUUAUUCAAUCAUUCAUUCUUUAUUACUUCUUGCCUGUACUGGUAGAAUAGCCUUCUAAUUGGUCUCUGCCUCUAGACUCUUCUUAAUUCAAUUCACUUUCUAUAUAGUUGCCACAUGAUUUUUCCCCCCUGAAGCCCAGAACUGCUCAUUACUCUAUGCAAUAAACUCUAUUGGCUCCUUUAUUAAUUAUGGAAUCAAAUAUAAAUUCCACUGGCAUUUAAA
Long non-coding RNA from Sarcophilus harrisii (Tasmanian devil), 2538 nucleotides. RefSeq lists it as uncharacterized. NCBI's taxonomy places the organism in Eukaryota, Metazoa, Chordata, Mammalia, Dasyuromorphia, Dasyuridae. The transcript has 3 exons. The record is from RefSeq and is a predicted model, not a curated record.